GAUUCAGUCUCUCCACCCCCAAAGGCGCUUUGCCAGCAGAUUUUCGAGUUUUCCCCCAAAGAAAUAAGAAGGAUGAAAAGAGGGUUGUCCUGACUCUGAAUCUGAUCCUUGGCUUGGCUUGGCUUGGCUUGGGUCCCUUUUUUCGAUUUUCAUUUGUGACGCGUCAAAUACGUUGUUACAAUUUCUGGUCUGCCAAACGAAAUAAAAACCGCACACGGAGAGCCGCAGGACGACGGCUAGGCAGGGCACAACCACGCGAAGAACACGGAACAGCAGAAGGCAGAGAAAAACUUAAUAAAUGGGCUAAAAGUGUAAAACCUCAGAGUGCCGCAAUCAGUGGCGUAGUCUGGAGGGAUGGAAACCCCUCACUCUCAGAGCGACUCACAGGGAGAGAUGACUAAUGGAAUGGCUUACAGAAGUCGCUUUUUGGGACCUUGUGUGUUUACUGAUUACUCAAUUCAAUGUCAACCCUGUGUCGCCCUGGGUCCUGAUUCCGAUAACAAAUAUGUAUAAUUUGGUUGUUUAA
Molecule: long non-coding RNA, 526 nt
Organism: Drosophila guanche
Lineage: Eukaryota; Metazoa; Arthropoda; Insecta; Diptera; Drosophilidae
Exons: 2
Source: RefSeq, a predicted model, not a curated record